AUAGAUUAAGUUAUUAAGGGCGCACGGUGGAUGCCUUGGCACUAGAAGCCGACGAAGGACGUUACUAACGACGAUAUGCUUUGGGUAGCUGUAAGUAAGCGUUAAUCCAGAGAUUUC
Molecule: ribosomal RNA, 117 nt
Filed under: Staphylococcus haemolyticus
Lineage: Bacteria; Bacillati; Bacillota; Bacilli; Caryophanales; Staphylococcaceae
Description: partial 23S ribosomal RNA
Rfam family: Bacterial large subunit ribosomal RNA
Source: RNAcentral